RNAcentral lists this long non-coding RNA (925 nucleotides) under Setaria viridis. RNAcentral's name for it is "long non-coding RNA (SVIR_LNC009709)". The record is from RNAcentral. Lineage: Eukaryota; Viridiplantae; Streptophyta; Magnoliopsida; Poales; Poaceae.
AUGGGUGCUCUUGUGGGCCGUCAACCUGGUGCUAGCCAUCUAACAGAAAGGAUAUGGAAUUACUUUAAAAUAAAUUUUUGAAUGAACUAGGAUAGAAGCAAAAUAAAGGAUUAAAACAGAAGCAUAGCAAUAAGGAUGAGGUAAAUCAAGGUUAAGAGUAUUUAAGCAGAUUUAAAUUAAGAAGUAGGUAGGAAUGGCUACUAGAUAAUUAUAAUCCUUAAUUGCGACCAUUUUCUAACUAGGCUAACGUCCUACAGUCAACACAGCUCUGAUGCCACUUCUGUCACACCCGAUUUUACGGACAAAAUUGAGUGCAUUCCAUACAUGUGCGCCAGGACCAAGUUACACACAUGUACAACAUAAGUGAAUAACAAAGAUAGUGCUAAAUCAAAUAAAGAGAGUAUUAAACAUUUAUUACAUGACCAAAAGUCUCAAAUAAGCACAAACUCUCAAAUAAAUAUUUAUUACAUGACCGAAAGUCCGAAAGUGACCGCCUCCCUACUCGUCUCCGUACCCAAUUCCUUUGGCUCCCCGACUCCCUCGCCCUCACCCCUGCCUCGCCAUUGCCGCCUCUGGAAGAUGGUCCAGUCCCCUCCGUUUUGGUUGUUCCUUGAAGCGAUGACCUCCUGUGCCCGCUGUCCUACCCUUCCCCCUCCCGGCCACCCUCCCCACUUGGCGUACCCACCGGCAGACACCCUCCCCACCGUUAGCCUCCCUCCCCACUGGUAGCAUCCCUCCCGGCCACCCUCCCCACCUCCGACGCCCCCACCGACGCACGCCAUCGCCACCAGAGGUGCCCCUCUCCGGCCAGCUCUUCUCCAUUGGCAAGCGCUCAAGGUGAAUCUAGUUUUGUGAUAAUGCAGUGCUUUGUGUCUGCAUCUUUGAUGUGUCUGUUUGUCUGUCUGUCUGUCUUUGUUUGGAUCUA